ACGGUGGCUAACACGGGAUGUGCCGGAAGGUGAAAGGCGUGCCGCCUGAAGAUGAGCUCGCGUCCGAUGAGCUCGUAGGUGGGGUAAGAGCCCACCUAGGCGACGAUCGGUAGCUGGUCUGAGAGGAUGACCAGCCACACAGGGAUUGAGACACGGCCCAGACUCAUACGGGAGGCAGCAGUGGGGACUUUUCCGCAAUGGGCGAAAGCCGGAAGGAGCAUUACCGCAUGAGGGAGGAAGGCUCUUGGGUUGUAAACCUCUUUUCUCAGGGAAGAACACAAUGACGGUACCUGAGGAAUCAGCAUCGGCUAACUCCGUGCCAGCAGCCGCGGUAAUACGGAGGAUGCAAGCGUUAUCCGGAAUGAUUGGGCGUAAAGCGUCCGCAGGUGGCCGUGAAAGUCUGCUGUCAAAGAGCGAAGCUCAACUUCGUAAAGGCAGUGGAAACUACACGGCUAGAGUGCGUUCGGGGCAGAGGGAAUUCCUGGUGUAGCGGUGAAAUGCGUAGAGAUCAGGAAGAACACCGGUGGCGAAGGCGCUCUCCUAGGCCGCAACUGACA
Molecule: ribosomal RNA, 557 nt
Filed under: Nostoc commune AUS-JR/DB/NT-125
Lineage: Bacteria; Bacillati; Cyanobacteriota; Cyanophyceae; Nostocales; Nostocaceae
Description: bacterial SSU rRNA
Rfam family: Bacterial small subunit ribosomal RNA
Source: RNAcentral